This 96-nucleotide transfer RNA is filed under the name Paractinoplanes ferrugineus. RNAcentral describes it as "Actinoplanes ferrugineus tRNA-Pro". Lineage: Bacteria; Bacillati; Actinomycetota; Actinomycetes; Micromonosporales; Micromonosporaceae. The record is from RNAcentral.
GCGAGGAAGGGCUGCCGUUGUGCGGCGCGGCGUGCUGGGGGCAUGUCGAUGCGGUUCGCGAAUUACUGGCGGCCGGUGCCGACCCGGACCUGCGCG